Molecule: ribosomal RNA, 934 nt
Filed under: uncultured Syntrophobacter sp.
Lineage: Bacteria; Pseudomonadati; Thermodesulfobacteriota; Syntrophobacteria; Syntrophobacterales; Syntrophobacteraceae
Description: SSU rRNA
Rfam family: Bacterial small subunit ribosomal RNA
Source: RNAcentral
AGAGUUUGAUCCUGGCUCAKAAUAAACGCUGGCGGCGUGCCUAACACAUGCAAGUCGAACGAGAAAGCCUGUUUUCGGACGGGCGAGUAAAGUGGCGUACGGGUGAGUAACGCGUAGGUAACCUGCCCCCUUGUCUGGGAUAACAGUGCGAAAGCGCUGCUAAUACCGGAUACGGCCGUAAGGCGAUGGCUUUAUGGUCAAAGUCGGCCUCUCAUUGAAGCCGGCGCAUGGGGAUGGGCCUGCGUCCUAUCAGCUUGUUGGUAGGGUAACGGCCUACCAAGGCUCCGACGGGUAGCUGGUCUGAGAGGAUGAUCAGCCACACUGGCACUGAAACACGGGCCAGACUCCUACGGGAGGCAGCAGUGAGGAAUUUUGCGCAAUGGCCGCAAGGCUGACGCAGCAACGCCGCGUGGGUGAAGAAGGCCUUCGGGUCGUAAAGCCCUGUCAGGUGGGAAGAAUGUCCCUGAGACCAAUAAGCUUGGGGAGUGACGGUACCACCAGAGGAAGCACCGGCUAACUCCGUGCCAGCAGCCGCGGUAAUACGGAGGGUGCAAGCGUUAUUCGGAAUUACUGGGCGUAAAGCGCGUGCAGGCGGGCGAGCAAGUCUGAUGUGAAAGCCCCGGGCUCAACCUGGKAAGUGCAUUGGAAACUGCUCGUCUUGAGUGUUGGAGAGGAAGGGGGAAUUCCCGGUGUAGAGGUGAAAUUCGUAGAGAUCGGGAGGAAUACCAGUGGCGAAGGCGCCCUUCUGGACGACAACUGACGCUGAGACGCGAAAGCGUGGGGAGCAAACAGGAUUAGAUACCCUGGUAGUCCACGCUGUAAACGAUGAGCACUAGGUGUAGCGGGUACUCAUUCCUGCUGUGCCGCAGCUAACGCGUUAAGUGCUCCGCCUGGGGAUUACGGUCGCAAGACUAAAACUCAAAGGAAUUGACGG